Molecule: long non-coding RNA, 3242 nt
Organism: Dreissena polymorpha
Lineage: Eukaryota; Metazoa; Mollusca; Bivalvia; Myida; Dreissenidae
Exons: 2
Source: RefSeq, a predicted model, not a curated record
GAGACAAGUGGGAUAAAUUUAAGUACACAAUCACACUAACAUAGUAUUCUAUUUAGCCUACAAAAUAAUUUAAAAAAUGUUACGAAUCUAUACGAAACGAUAAUGUAACAAAAAUCGAGGCUGUACCUUUAAGUUGUUUACCUAUUUUUACUCGCGUAUUAAUUUACAAAGGGUUACCGAUUUACAAACAGCUCGAUCUUCUUGCGCAGGAACGCGAAAUAGUUUGAAAGUUAAACAUACGAUCGCUGAAAAAUAAAGGGAUUAAACAUCAUAUACCUCCGUUCAAAUUUAUUCAAUUUAUUGCAAUACACAUUUUUAUUAUUAAAUAUUAAGUAUUAAAUGAGAAUUAACAAAUAAUUUUCCGUCAUAAAGGGUGAAGGUCGCCAUUUGCAAUCAUAAAUGAAUCAUGUACAGCACAUGUUGCAGUGUUACUACACAACAGAUGGAACUGGAACAAAAAAAUAAACAAAUAUCACGCGAAUAACCAAGAGCGUUGGAUUUACUUGCUGUAGAAGUUGAAAUUGUUGCCCCAUAAAACUGAGAGUGUGUCUGAAGGAGAUUCAUCGAAGAUGAGAUGGACACGUGAUUCUGUUCCGAGUGGGUGGCGAAAGAAUGAACAUCAAUGUUUGGAAUAUUGACGGGCCUGUGUUUGGGUGUUGGUUUGAAAGCGCUAGACGAGAGAGAUGGUGCUGCAUCGCAAUCAUCGUGAUUUUCAAGCAUUGAUGGUGAUGGUGGGGACGUUACAGUUGCAGUGACUGGAUACCGUCGUUUCCCAGACAGGAUGUGUGAUCCGGCCUUCUGUGUGGAUUCAGAAAUCGCACUGUAAUUCAAUACCGAUUGGAUGUUUUGUGGCCAGUGAAAUGCAUAAUGUCAGUUGGUGGGACGUUUUCGUCGCUGAGCAUUUGGACCAUUCGCUUGCGAACAGAGUGGUUAGUCAGGCGCUGACGGUCCAGCCCGCACUGCUCAGCAAUCCUUUGAACCAUGUGUCCAAGUUUAUUGAGGCCGACCUUCUGCAUAAUAACCACUUGUCAUCUGGUCCUGUCAAAGCCCAGGUCCUAGGUUUAAUGUAGAAUGGACUUCCUGGUUGACAAUAUCCACUGGGUCGCUUGGAGGCAAACAGCUUGUAGGCUGCGAUGGGGCAUCUGUCGUCUUGUGUCGCAUACAUCCUAGGUGGCACUUUCCUGAUGUUUGAAAUGUUACCCCCUGUCCUUGUUUUGGUCUGGCGCUCAUUAAGUUCAAGGAACUCCGUUCCAUGUGCUUCGGUUCUGAGGGUUACGUCUUCCCAGCUAAAAAUAAUGAACAUUGGAAACCUUGAAAAGACAUAUAGAAAACUCAAAGGAAAUGGCUUAACGAUUAUAAAUCACUCAAACCAUAGAUUAUACUGCUCCGUGGUUCCCCGAAGGCCUAAGUGGACACAGUUGUUAUACCACAUGGUAUUCAGCAAGUAUUUUAUGAAUACUUUUGCAAUAUUGAAUAUAGCAACUUGAUAUUUGGCAUGCAUGUGUAUCUCAUGGAGCUGCACAUUUUGAUUGGUGAAAGGUCAAGGUCAUCCUUCAAGGUCAGAGGUCAAAUAUAUGUGGCCCAAAUCGCUUAUUUUAUGAAUACUUUUGCAAUAUUGAAGAUAGCAACUUGAUAUUUGGCAGCAUGUGUAUCUCAUGUAGCUGCACAUUUUGAGUGGUGAAAGGUCAAGGUCGAGGUCAUCCUUCAAGGUCAAAUAUAUGGGUCAAAUUUGCUCAUGUAAUGUCACUUCUACAAUAUUGAAGCUAGCAAUUUUAUAUUUGAAAUGCAUGUGUAUCUCAUGGAGCUGCACAUUUUGAGUGGUGAUGGGUCAAGGUCAUCCUUCAAGGUCAAACGUCAUAUAGGGGGACAUUGUGUUUCACAAACGCAUCUUGUUUGAUUUUUGCAAUGUUGCUUUGUUUUCUUGUUCUCAAAUACGUUUUUUAACCAUGCAAAUGUCAAUGUCCUCAAAUUCUUUAUUUAGUUCAGGAAUCAGAAUGCUGGCUACUUCAUUAGAAGUUACAUUUUCAAAUGUAUCGUCCAGAACCCUUGCAUCAAAUCCAUACAAUUCAAUGUAAACUUCAAAUGAUACCUCUUGAACAAUUUGAUAUGCACUUUGUGAUUUUAUAGUUCCGUUUUCUUCAAUUUUCAUGUCCGCUGUUUUGUUUGCAGUUUUAAGUGAGGCAUCUUCCAUGUCAUUUUCUAUAAUAUCAUCCCAUAAAAUGUUAAAUGUUAUAUUAUCAAUAUUAUCUGACAUUUUUAUGUCCCCCACUAUAGUAGUGGGGGACAUAUUGUUUUUGCCCUGUCUGUUGGUUGGUUGGUCUGUUGGUUGGUUGGUCUGUUGGUUGGUUUGCGCCAACUUUAACAUUUUGCAAUAACUUUUGCUAUAUUGAAGAUAGCAACUUCAUAUUUGGCAUGCAUGUGUAUCGCAUGAAGCUGCACAAUUUGAGUGGUGAAAGGUCAAGGUCAUCCUUCAAGGUCAGAGGUCAAAUAUGUGUGGCCAAAAUCGCUAAUUUUAUGAAUACUUUUGCAAUAUUGAAGAUAGCAACUUCAUAUUUGGCAUGCAUGUGUAUCUCAUGGAGCUGCACAUUAUGAGUGGUGAAAGGUCAAGGUCAUCCUUACAGGUCAGAGGUCAAAUAUAUGUGGCCCAAAUCGCUUAUUUUAUGAAUACUUUUGCAAUAUUGAAUAUAGCAACUUGAUAUUUGGCAUGCAUGUGUAUCUCAUGGAGCUGCACAUUUUGAGUGGUGAAAGGUCAAGGUCAUCCUUCAAGGUCAGAGGUCAAAUAUAUGUGGCCCUAAUCGCUUAUUUUUUGAAUACUUUUGCAAUAUUGAAGAUAGCAACUUGAUAUUUGGCAUGCAUGUGUAUCUCAUGGAGCUGCACAUUUUGAGUGGUGAAAGGUCAAUGUCAUCCUUCAAGGUCAAAUAUAUGGGUCAAAAUUGCUCAUGUAAUGUCACUUCUGCAAUAUUGAAGCUAGCAAUUUUAUAUUUGAAAUGCGUGUGUAUCUCAAUGAGCUGCACAUUUUGGGUGGUGAAGGGUCAAGGUCAUCCUUCAAGGUCAAAUGUCAUAUAGGCGGACAUUGUGUUUCACAAACACAUCUUGUUAUUCUUCUGUUUAGAAUUUUCACUUGCUCAAUAUUUAUUUGAACAGACAACAGUACUUCUGUGUGAAAUAGUGAUUUAUUUAUUUAUUUUAUUCUUAUGAUUAUUGUCAUUGAUAACAAUUUAAUAAAAUAAAAACAAAUUCUA